Molecule: long non-coding RNA, 928 nt
Organism: Anopheles coluzzii
Lineage: Eukaryota; Metazoa; Arthropoda; Insecta; Diptera; Culicidae
Exons: 3
Source: RefSeq, a predicted model, not a curated record
GCAAAGAGUAACUCAUUUUGAUGCCUCUCGCUACCCCUGGCCCUAGUUUUGAAAGAAUCACGCGACACACUCGCACUCCACUACCCCAUCCCAUGGAAAAACGCUCCCACCAUCGAGGUGUUGACCAAAAUUUCGCUGUGUGCAUGAGACACACACUCGCACUCCUCCAGUCCUCCACAGCUGAACGCUCCCACCGUUGCGACAUUUGCGAGAAUUUUUGCUCUGAGCGUGAGACCCUGAAGCGCAAGGGAUGACACUAUGUGUAAAGACGAUCAUAAUUCAAUAUGGUCAAAAUGCGUCGAUUGUCGUUUCAUUUAUCUGGUAAUGAUGUAUUCACUUCAUCAAAAAUUUUAAACGUAGGCUGUACUAGGCUGAUAACAAUAUUUGAAAUUGAAAUCAGAAUAAAAUCAAUUCAUUUGAAGUAAAAUAAAUUCCAUUAUACUCUAUUUUGUCCAUAUGAUCAACACUUGUACAUAGUGCCAUUUAUUUUGUGUUCUUCACUCUCGCGCUGUGUUGUGAUCGUUCGAAACUCAUCGCCAGAACGAAUGCAAAUCUCAUAUGGGAAGGAUUGGUGCCGGAAGAUGCAGCGAAAAUUAUGAAAUGAUAAUAGAAAAGUGGUUAAGUUAAUCGUGAAAGAUGUCAACGCAGGCGCAAAUGCAGUAUGUUUUGUUACAUGAUCUACGGCUAUUUCAUUGCCAAAGCUCCUGAUAACAGAUCAAAGCAGAUGGAUCGGGCUUACAGAGUCGCCAUUUAACUUCAAAUAUCUUCGUGAUCGGAAAACGCAUCAAACAGCAAGUGUUUUUCUUCCAACAGCACGCGCCAUCGGUGGAGCAAGCAGCCAACGUUUUGAUCGCUAGUACGCGCCAUCAAGAAUAGAAAUAUUCCCGAAUAGCUCUGUGAAUAAAAAACUGCACAUUUACUGUCCGAA